RNAcentral lists this ribosomal RNA (497 nucleotides) under uncultured bacterium. RNAcentral describes it as "partial 16S ribosomal RNA". It matches the Rfam family "Bacterial small subunit ribosomal RNA", at positions 28 to 507 of the family's 1533-position model. The record is from RNAcentral.
GAUGAACGCUGGCGGCGUGCUUAAUACAUGCCAGUCGAGCGAACGGACGAGAAGCUUGCUUCUCUGACGUUAGCGGCGGACGGGUGAGUAACACGUGGAUAACCUACCUAUAUGACUGGGAUAACUUCGGGAAACCGGAGCUAAUACCGGAUAAUAUUCUGAACCGCAUGGUUCAAUAGUGAAAGUCGGUCUUGCUGUCACUUAUAGAUGGAUCCGCGCUGCAUUAGCUAGUUGGUAAGGUAACGGCUUACCAAGGGAAGGAUGCAUAGACGAACUGUGAGGGUGGUAGGCCACACUGGAACUGGGACACGGUCCAGGCUCCUACGGGAGGCAGCAGUAUGGUAUGUGCCGCAGUGGGCGAGAGCCUGACAGAGCAACGCCGCGUGAGUGAUGAAGAUCUUCGGAUCGUAAAACUCUGUUAUUAGGGAAGAACAUAUGUGUAAGUAACUGUACACAUCUUGACGGUACCUAAUCAGAAAGCCACGGCUAACUACGUG